AGGGGCUCCGCCGCGAUGGCCGCGGUGGCCUCCUUCAGGCUCUUCUUUAGGUCACUCAGUUCCCUGGACAUGUUUAGCAGCUGUUUAAAAAAAAGGUAUUUUUACUGGGUUUAGGUGCCUGCUGGACUUUCCAUCCCCAAAGGAGAAGGAUGUGUGUGAGGUCUGGUGAAGCACGAGCUCAGGAUGGUGGUAAAGGGACGCGGGCAGAUGGAACCGUGCUUGGUGUGCGGAAGGCUUUGGGGAGGCAGGCCUUGAAUACCUAUGUAGCAACAGCUGGGAUGUGCUCUUCUGUGAAAGAUUGAGGCUCCUUUUAAAAUGUUUUCUAUUUAAACAGAAGGACUUGCCUAGAAGUUAAAUGCAGAAGAGAACAGCUUUGGGAGCUGGGUAGAGCUGCGUGCAGAUGCCAGUUCUACGUUCUCGACGGGUGCAGACUCAAGCAAAUGCUUUUAUGUGCCUCAGUUUGUUCAACUAUGAGACUGAAAUAUCAUCCACGCUGCAGAUAUUUUUGAGAUUCAAAUUUGGCACAGAAGUGCCCAACAUAGCUUGCUUGUCGCACAGGGUAGAGAACUGAAGCCUUUGGGGCCCAUCUGCCUGCACCGAGAUGCCUGUUAAACCCAACUGUCUACUCCAGCCCCAGGCUGAAAGUGCAAUGAGCAAAGGCAGAUCUGAGCAUCCUGUCGGUACCUGCCAGAAGAGUAAGUUUUACCCUGACGGUGAGGCAAACAACAGUCCACCCUGCCUUCUCUUUGAUCCUCUGUGACUGUGGAUGGAAACUGGUUGCGAAGAGCUCUUCAUAAACAAACAUGUCUGACUCCUGCCUGCCUUGAAAUGGGCGUUUCUGGAAGGACCAUUGACCCUUGAACAACGUGAGACCUGAUGGUUCCUGGGCUCCAUCCUCGCCUGGCUGCAGACCCUCCUAUCUGACCCCCUGCAAGACAGCGUCACCCCUGCUGUGCCCAGCAGGCAGGAGGCCUGAGUGUGGAUGGACAGUCACCUCGGUCCUCAUCCAUCACGGGGUCAGGCAUGGCACCGCCGUCACUGCGUCUGUCUGUGACGGGACCUGAGCAUCACCCCCUUUCUCUCUCUCCCUCUCGUUUCAGUGACCUUUUGUCCUAAACAUCUCCCCCAGGUCCUGCUUCCUCCCUGUCCCUAGCAUUUCUGUCCUGGUUCAAACUCUGAUCUGAGCUUUUCAUCAGCCUCAUAACUGGUCCCCCGUCUCCCCUCCAGUUGUCAUCAAAUCCACCCUCCACAUCCCGGCCAGAAAGAUGUAACGACACACUCCAAGGCGGGGCAUCGCCUGCGAGCUCCCUCAUCUCAUCUCCUGGGCCUCCGUCCACUGGUCCUUCGGGGGUGGCCUCUGUUUUCUAGAAAUACCUAAGUGCCUGCCCGCCUUGCUCUGUUUCUCACGGGCACGUUUAUGCCCAGGCUGCUGCUUCCUGUCGGAACGUUCCUCCUUGGCUCCACUUCAUCGCUCCAGCCCAGCCUGAAAAAGUCAGCUCAGGUGCGAGUGCCUCCCGAAAGUAGCCUCUCCGAAGCGCCUGGCCUCCAGGGGACCGAGGCCCCGGCGCUCCGCGCUUCCGUCGCAUCCAGCGCAGCCUGAGUGCACGUGCUACGCUGCGGGAGGCUCUUUGCACUGCUGGGAAAGUUUUAGCUCACGCAGAAACAGGAUGCUCAAGUCGUUGGACCUUUUCCACGUUAACAUAGGAACACAUCCCCGUGCUAAGCUGGGCAGGGAGGCUGAAGAGAAUCACACAUCGUCCACCCCUUUCCUUAGCUCUAAGUCGGUCAAGCAGGAACAGCUCGAGAUGAGAAAAACCGUAACACCAGGCACUUUUUCAAAUGAGGACCCUCAGGCUCUGGGCCAGGGUCAGGGACAGCCCCUCGGCCCAGCACGGAGGAGGGGCCCCCUCACGUCGUCCUUACCUUUAUGGCAGCGAUGGCCCUUGCCUGGGUCCCCUCGUGCUGGACCCUCGUCCUCAAGCCUAGUGCUGGCAUGAAACGAGUAUGUGGGAAUAAAGUCAUCUGGACAUUUGCGGACGGGUAGGGGGAGAAGAGAAGGAAAGGCGGACACUCCUGGCAGGACCUGCGGUCGGGAGAGGGUGGGCUCACCUCGGGCGUGGAGCUGACUU
Long non-coding RNA from Phacochoerus africanus (Common warthog), 2129 nucleotides. RefSeq lists it as uncharacterized. Lineage: Eukaryota; Metazoa; Chordata; Mammalia; Artiodactyla; Suidae. The record is from RefSeq and is a predicted model, not a curated record. The transcript is spliced from 4 exons.